CCUACGGGAGGCAGCAGUGGGGAAUAUUGGGCAAUGGAGGAAACUCUGACCCAGCAACGCCGCGUGAAUGAUGAAGGUCCUCGGAUUGUUAAGUUCCUUUUUAAGGGAAGAAGAAAGUGACGGUACCUUAGGAAUAAGCCUCGGCUAACUACGUGCCAGCAGCCGCGGCAAUACGUAGGAGGCGAGCGUUAUCCGGAGUGACUGGGCGUAAAGGGUGCGUAGGUGGUUUGGCAAGUUAGUAGCGUAACUCCAAGGCUCAACCUUGGAACUACUGCUAAAACUGUUGGACUUGAGUGCAGGAGGGGCAAGCGGAAUUCCUAGUGUAGCGGUGGAAUGCGUAGAUAUUAGGAGGAACACCAGUGGCGAAGGCGGGUUGCUGGACUGUAACUGACACUGAGGCACGAAAGCGUGGGGAGCGAACAGGAUUAGAUACCCUAGUAGUC
RNAcentral lists this ribosomal RNA (443 nucleotides) under uncultured bacterium. RNAcentral's name for it is "partial 16S ribosomal RNA". It matches the Rfam family "Bacterial small subunit ribosomal RNA", at positions 338 to 795 of the family's 1533-position model. The record is from RNAcentral.